AGGUACAACAGAGACAGCUGUUUGUCCCCCAGUAUCCUUCAGACAAAGCCAUAUAUGAUUGAAGGUUAUCAGUACUGUGCUUUUGGAGGAUUCAGAAGAAGUUAUAUCUGAUUGGGAGAUUGAAAAGGAUUGGCCUGAAGGAGAGGUGGUUUUUGAACUGCAUCUUAAAGGAUGAGGAAACUGAGGCUGAGAGGGUAGAGAACUUUGCCUGAGGUCACUCAGCAGGGACCCACCCAUCACAGUAAAUGCCAGCACUGCUGAUGCCAAAACAAUGUUAUUUGUAGGCCCUCGGAAUUUGUGACCUGAAGGAAGAAGAGCAGGGCCGUGGGAAGUAUGUAACCAGUGUCAUGCCCCUGGUCCCAAGGAAGCAGUGGCUUGGUAAAGAGGGGACCCCCGUCAAUAACUCCCUGUAAUUACUGGGCACCCACUCUGAGCUCCUCAGUGGAAUCCUAAGGUUAAUAAGACUGUCUCUAGCCACUGGGGCUCCCAGCCUGGAGUGAGGUAAGAGGAGUGGAGCCGGCUGGGGAGGGAGACGAACACAUACACAGAAGAUUCAGACACACUUGCAAUGUAUUGCUGGGGAUUCUCCAGCAUUGGCAUGAUGGAGAGGGUGGAGAAUCAUUUGACCGCCUCCGCCUAGGAUUGCAGAGUUCAGCUGGCCAUCAUCCACCAGCCGGGGGACUGUGCACAUCAGUUAACCUCUCCUCUCAGGCCUUGAAAAGCACCAGGCUUAGUACACGUUUGUUAAAUGAAUGCACUGCAGUUUUUUUGCUUGUUAAAGGCAGGUAAUAAUAAUGAUAUUGCUGACUAAGGGCUCCCAUCCACUCCCAGUGAGCCCGGUGCCCCCCCGGGCCUCCUCAGUGAGCUGAGGAGGCUCAGCAGUGCCUGCACGUCCCCUCGCCACAAUGUCAUGUGCCACCUCUUCAAAGGAGGGAUGUACCAGCUAGUGGACGUGACCUUGACUGCAAAGGGCGGCACGCAGCUGAUGUAAUGGUCGCUUAAGUGUUCACAAAUGCCUGAACACCCUGUCCUACCUGGUCCUACCUGGAUGCUGGCCUCAGUAAGCUCCUGGGCUCAUUGAAGAUGAACCUAGCAGUAGUAUUUACACCACUUGUUGUGUGCCCACUGUGGGCCCGGCGCCAUGCCGAGUGCUCUAUGGAUGUGAGAUGAGAACACUGAAGCAGUUUUUUCUAAAGAUAGCUGCCUGGCACAGUGGCUCACAUCUGUAGUCCCAGCAUUUGGGGAGGCCAAGGCAGGUGGAUCACUUGAGGCCAGGAAUUCAAGACCAGCAUGGCCAACAUGUGCUGGGAGAGAAAAGCAUACGACAUAGACAGGGAGGUCAAGCUCCACCACGCAGAUGAGGUGCAGGCCACCAGUCUUCCUCUGCCACAUCUCUUUCUGAAAAGGACUUCACAUUCACCCUUGCAAUCCAUGUGGGGACACUGUUGGAUAGGAGGCGUGGUCCCAGCGUGGUCUCCCUGUCUGGGCCUCUGCCUAUGCCAAAUGUUUGCCUUACGCUGCACACUCAAGAGGUUCCAUGUAUACAGAUGGGAAUUCCAGAGCUACAGAAAAGGCAGCAAGCACCAUGAUUUAAGCUAACCAGUGUGGAUUCACACCUUCCUCUCUCUCUAUCAGUGGCAGAACUACCAGCUAGAGUAAGAAGUGGUUGAUCCAGGACCUAAACAUUCUGGAAACUCUUGCCCACUUCUGGGAGAAAUGACCCAAUCCAUAGUACUAAGCACACCUUAACUUUCGUAGGACGCAGGCAAGUUGUCAUACCGUGUGCCUAAAUAUAGAAAAAUGAUCCACUGGACUAAUAAAGUGUUAAAUAAAAUAUGUCCUGACUG
Molecule: long non-coding RNA, 1847 nt
Filed under: Homo sapiens (human)
Lineage: Eukaryota; Metazoa; Chordata; Mammalia; Primates; Hominidae
Description: long intergenic non-protein coding RNA 2395
Source: RNAcentral